GAUGAACGCUGGCGGCGUGCCUAAUACAUGCAAGUCGAGCGAACAGACGAGGAGCUUGCUCCUCUGACGUUAGCGGCUGACGGGUGAGUAACACGUGGAUAACCUACCUAUAAGACUGGGAUAACUUCGGGAAACCGGAGCUAAUACCGGAUAAUAUAUUGAACCGCAUGGUUCAAUAGUGAAAGACGGUUUUGCUGUCACUUAUAGAUGGAUCCGCGCCGGAUUAGCUAGUUGGUAAGGUAACGGCUUACCAAGGCAACGAUGCGUAGCCGACCUGAGAGGAUGAUCGGCCACACUGGAACUGAGACACGGUCCAGACUCCUACGGGAGGCAGCAGUAGGGAAUCUUCGGCAAUGGGCGAAAGCCUGACGGAGCAACGCCGCGUGAGUGAUGAAGGUCUUCGGAUCGUAAAACUCUGUUAUUAGGGAAGAACAAAUGUGUAAGUAACUAUGCACGUCUUGACGGUACCUAAUCAGAAAGCCACGGCUAACUACGUG
RNAcentral lists this ribosomal RNA (497 nucleotides) under uncultured bacterium. RNAcentral's name for it is "partial 16S ribosomal RNA". It matches the Rfam family "Bacterial small subunit ribosomal RNA", at positions 28 to 507 of the family's 1533-position model. The record is from RNAcentral.